GACAAACGCUGGCGGCGCGCCUAAUACAUGCAAGUCGAACGACGAAAGCCUUCGGGCAAGUAAGAGUGGCGCACGGGCGAGGAACACGUAGAUAAUCUGCCCUUCAGUGGGGAAUAACUCUCCGAAAGGAGUGCUAAUACCGCAUAAGACCACAAGCUCUGCGGAGCAAGGGGUUAAAGGAUUUAUUCGCUGAAGGAUGAGUCUGCGUCCGAUUAGCUAGUUGGUGAGGUAAUGGCUUACCAAGGCAAUGAUCGGUAGAUGGUCUGAGAGGAUGAUCAUCCGCACUGGAACUGAGACACGGUCCAGACUCCUAUGGGAGGCAGCAGUAGGGAAUAUUGCACAAUGGGGGAAACCCUGAUGCAGCAACGCCGCGUGAGUGAUGAAGGCUCUAGGGUCGUAAAGCUCUGUCGUAUGGGAAGAAAAAAAUGACGGUACCAUACAAGAAAGGACCGGCCAACUUCGUGCCAGCCGCCGCUGUAA
This 480-nucleotide ribosomal RNA is filed under the name uncultured bacterium. RNAcentral's name for it is "partial 16S ribosomal RNA". It matches the Rfam family "Bacterial small subunit ribosomal RNA", at positions 28 to 523 of the family's 1533-position model. The record is from RNAcentral.